CCUACGGGGGGCAGCAGUGGGGAAUAUUGGACAAUGGGGGCAACCCUGAUCCAGCCAUGCCGCGUGUGUGAAGAAGGCCCUCGGGUUGUAAAGCACUUUCAGUGAGGAAGAACGCCUGGUGGUUAAUACCCAUCAGGAAAGACAUCACUCACAGAAGAAGCACCGGCUAACUCCGUGCCAGCAGCCGCGGUAAUACGGAGGGUGCGAGCGUUAAUCGGAAUUACUGGGCGUAAAGCGCGCGUAGGUGGCUUGAUAAGCCGGUUGUGAAAGCCCCGGGCUCAACCUGGGAACGGCAUCCGGAACUGUCAACCUAGAGUGCAGGAGAGGAAGGUAGAAUUCCCGGUGUAGCGGUGAAAUGCGUAGAGAUCGGGAGGAAUACCAGUGGCGAAGGCGGCCUUCUGGACUGACACUGACACUGAGGUGCGAAAGCGUGGGUAGCAAACAGGAUUAGAUACCCCAGUAGUC
Molecule: ribosomal RNA, 465 nt
Filed under: Vreelandella stevensii
Lineage: Bacteria; Pseudomonadati; Pseudomonadota; Gammaproteobacteria; Oceanospirillales; Halomonadaceae
Description: partial 16S ribosomal RNA
Rfam family: Bacterial small subunit ribosomal RNA
Source: RNAcentral